Molecule: non-coding RNA, 25 nt
Filed under: Cricetulus griseus (Chinese hamster)
Lineage: Eukaryota; Metazoa; Chordata; Mammalia; Rodentia; Cricetidae
Source: RNAcentral
GUGCUCACUCUGGGCCAUACUGUGG